Non-coding RNA from Pelobates cultripes (western spadefoot toad), 72 nucleotides. The record is from the annotation of a GenBank genome assembly. NCBI's taxonomy places the organism in Eukaryota, Metazoa, Chordata, Amphibia, Anura, Pelobatidae.
GGAGCGUGCACUUCCGCCACCAUUACCACUACAGCGUUCUGUAGUGGUUAUGGUGCUGGGAGUGUCCCUUUA